RNAcentral lists this ribosomal RNA (402 nucleotides) under uncultured bacterium. RNAcentral describes it as "bacterial SSU rRNA". It matches the Rfam family "Bacterial small subunit ribosomal RNA", at positions 355 to 774 of the family's 1533-position model. The record is from RNAcentral.
UGGGGAAUAUUGGACAAUGGGCGCAAGCCUGAUCCAGCCAUGCCGCGUGAGUGAUGAAGGCCUUAGGGUUGUAAAGCUCUUUUAGCAGGGAAGAUAAUGACGGUACCUGCAGAAAAAGCCCCGGCUAACUUCGUGCCAGCAGCCGCGGUAAUACGAAGGGGGCUAGCGUUGCUCGGAAUUACUGGGCGUAAAGCGCACGUAGGCGGACUCUUAAGUCGGUGGUGAAAGCCUGGAGCUCAACUCCAGAACUGCCUUUGAUACUGGAAGUCUUGAGUUCGGGAGAGGUGAGUGGAACUGCGAGUGUAGAGGUGAAAUUCGUAGAUAUUCGCAAGAACACCGGUGGCGAAGGCGGCUCACUGGCCCGAUACUGACGCUGAGGCACGAAAGCGUGGGGAGCAAACA